GUUGAACGCUGGCGGCAGGCUUAACACAUGCAAGUCGAGCGGGGUGAUGGUGCUUGCACUAUCACUUAGCGGCGGACGGGUGAGUAAUGCUUAGGAAUCUGCCUAUUAGUGGGGGACAACAUCUCGAAAGGGAUGCUAAUACCGCAUACGUCCUACGGGAGAAAGCAGGGGAUCACUAGUGACCUUUCGCUAAUAGAUGAGCCUAAGUCGGAUUAGCUAGUUGGUGGGGUAAAGGCCUACCAAGGCGACGAUCUGUAGCGGGUCUGAGAGGAUGAUCCGCCACACUGGGACUGAGACACGGCCCAGACUCCUACGGGAGGCAGCAGUGGGGAAUAUUGGACAAUGGGGGGAACCCUGAUCCAGCCAUGCCGCGUGUGUGAAGAAGGCCUUAUGGUUGUAAAGCACCUUAAGCGAGGAGGAGGCUCUUUUGGUUAAUACCCAAGAUGAGUGGACGUUACUCGCAGAAUAAGCACCGGCUAACUCUGUGCCAGCCGCCGCCGUAA
This 503-nucleotide ribosomal RNA is filed under the name uncultured bacterium. RNAcentral describes it as "partial 16S ribosomal RNA". It matches the Rfam family "Bacterial small subunit ribosomal RNA", at positions 28 to 523 of the family's 1533-position model. The record is from RNAcentral.